Lemur catta (Ring-tailed lemur) is the source of this 544-nucleotide long non-coding RNA. RefSeq lists it as uncharacterized. The transcript is spliced from 5 exons. The record is from RefSeq and is a predicted model, not a curated record. Lineage: Eukaryota; Metazoa; Chordata; Mammalia; Primates; Lemuridae.
CAGGAAUGCCGGGAAGAAAGGGAAAGCGACAGGGAAAAAGGCCUUUCCCGUGCUUCAGCCCUUUGGGAACUGGCACUGAGGAAGAAGGCAAGGGAAUUAGAGAGAGGAGGCAGAUGGAGUGUCGAGGACAACAACCAGGGAUUUGGAGCCCCAAACACUUAGCACGCGGGAGCUCCUGAUCUGCAUUUCUGACUACCUGCUGGACAUUUAUUUCCAUGUGAGUGGGCCUGUGGCACUUUAAGCUUAAUAUGGCCAAAACGGAAUUCAUCCUGUUUUCCAAGCUGCACCAGUUCCUCCAGUGCCCUCGGGCUGAGUGGCAAAGCUUUGUAAACUGCAUCUCACAAGUCUCUCUUCUCCCACUGGAAUGUAAGCUCUGAGAGGACAGAUUUCUCUGUGCCUAGAACUUUGUUGACUGUCACAAGUUAUCCAGGUUCAACAUCAUGGAGUCAUCUUUCAAUUCUUCUUCCUUGGCCAGGCGUGGUAGCUUAUGCCUGUAAUCUCAGCAUUUCGGAAGGCCGAGGCAGGAGGAUCACUUGAGGACAAG